CGGGCAUAACAACAAACACUUGGGUUGCAGACUUUUUCUUUUCUUAUUUUGCUUUCAACCGUAAUAAAUCUGCUUUAGCUUAUUAACGGCUGAUUCAUCAACCGAACACUAGAGGGAGCGAUUGUAGGCUCAAUGGAAGAGCUCGUCGAGGGAAGCAGUGUCAUUGGCGUCAACCUCUCUGUAGUUAACAAAUUUUUCGCGCACGUAUUUGGCAUAAUAAGGCCUCUUGUCCUCCGGUAGACGCCUUACUAGCCUUAGUUAGAACCUCGCCAUACAUUCUUAAUGCUUUCUGUAUCUCUUUUUGCAAGGA
This 310-nucleotide unclassified non-coding RNA is filed under the name Hevea brasiliensis (rubber tree). The record is from RNAcentral. Lineage: Eukaryota; Viridiplantae; Streptophyta; Magnoliopsida; Malpighiales; Euphorbiaceae.